CCUCAAUAGACAUGGUGUCACUUAAUGCGAAUAAUCCAGAUAAAGAAGUGAAAAAGACAAGAUGGCCUGAGGGCAUUUAAGAAAUAUUUUAACAAAGAAAAUUUACUUAUCCAAUGAAAUGGUAUGAGCAAAAAUUCAUAUCUUAAUUUUGUCUACUUUUGACCAGUUCAAACCAGCUUGACCAGUGAAGUGUAAACAUUUUCAAAUAAUUAUUAUAAGGAUUAUAUAG
RNAcentral lists this long non-coding RNA (229 nucleotides) under Mytilus galloprovincialis (Mediterranean mussel). The record is from RNAcentral. Lineage: Eukaryota; Metazoa; Mollusca; Bivalvia; Mytilida; Mytilidae.